CCUACGGGAGGCAGCAGUGGGGAAUAUUGCACAAUGGGGGAAACCCUGAUGCAGCGACGCCGCGUGAAGGAAGAAGUAUUUCGGUAUGUAAACUUCUAUCAGCAGGGAAGAAAAUGACGGUACCUGACUAAGAAGCCCCGGCUAACUACGUGCCAGCAGCCGCGGUAAUACGUAGGGGGCAAGCGUUAUCCGGAUUUACUGGGUGUAAAGGGAGCGUAGGCGGUUUAGCAAGUCAGAAGUGAAAGCCCGGGGCUCAACUCCGGGACUGCUUUUGAAACUGUUGAACUAGAUUGCAGGAGAGGUAAGUGGAAUUCCUAGUGUAGCGGUGAAAUGCGUAGAUAGUAGGAGGAACACCAAUAGCGUAGGCAGGUUGCUGGGACGGUUCUGACACUAAGGCACGAAAGCGUAGGGAGCAAACGGGAUUAGAUACCCGGGUAGUC
RNAcentral lists this ribosomal RNA (440 nucleotides) under uncultured bacterium. Its description in RNAcentral is "partial 16S ribosomal RNA". It matches the Rfam family "Bacterial small subunit ribosomal RNA", at positions 338 to 795 of the family's 1533-position model. The record is from RNAcentral.